Molecule: long non-coding RNA, 7405 nt
Organism: Ctenopharyngodon idella (grass carp)
Lineage: Eukaryota; Metazoa; Chordata; Actinopteri; Cypriniformes; Xenocyprididae
Exons: 3
Source: RefSeq, a predicted model, not a curated record
AAGUCAGAGUCCACUGCUUACAUGUCCACUAGGAAAAACAGCCCACCAUCAGAUGUGGGCCGCCAUUAGUCCCAAUAGCAUAGUGUUUGGCAGGAGCAAGAGAACUGGGAAAGGAAUAAAUGAAGGAGAGUGAGCUGUUUAAAACCCUGGGGAAAAGGAGGGUUUAAGAAGUGACUUCAGAAAGAGAUAGUGCUUCAGAGCUGCCAAACGGAUUCAGCUGUUUCGUCUUCAUUCCCUUUGUCUAUCCUGAAGUGGAAACCUAUUGUUGUUUAGUCUGACUGCGUUUCUCCAGCUUAUUUUCCUCCCCAUGUGGCUGCUUUCCUGGAAGACUUUGCUGGUUGCCAUUAGCUAUUGUGCUUUUUGAAAUCCUAAAAGAGCAGAGGACCCGCCCAGUGAAUCAGUUCUUACUGUAAUGAUGGGGCUAAAAUAAGACACUUCCAACUGGACUGACAGAGAGUUGGAGGGGACAAAGAGUAAGAGUACAUGAUGGCAUGGUUAUUGUGGUAAAAACCUUUGUUGUUAAAUUGGGCAUAACGCAAUAUGGUUCAUGCUAUGCAUCCAUCACCAGGAUUGUAAAUUUAUACAAAGAGAAAGAGGGAGAGGAAUGGGAAAGACACGGAGCCCAAAAGUAAAUUAGACUUGCCACAAGACAGAACCUCAGUCUUCUGUCCAGCAUCCACAGUGGCAACGGUCUCUAGAGGCACGCAAGCAAGUCUUAAAAGAGAAACCAGGAAGAAAAAAAAGACAUCUAGCACCAACGCAUUGAAUCUCUGGACUGUAUCUUUAGAGAUUCUGGUGUCAGAGUCACUGGGUUAAAGCACAGCUAGAUUUGAUCUCCAGGUCUUUGUGGUCUUGGAGUAAGGCUGUAGUGUUUUCACAGGAGGAAAAGAAGGGUGAUGGGUUCAUGCAGCCCCAAAUGUACUCCUCAUUCCUAGACUUUGCUUCUGCAUGCAGCUGGCGAUAGUGCUAAAUGCAAUUGAAACAAGCACUGGGCCAAAGGAAGUAUACAGUUACUAUAUUCAACUGGAGAUGCACAGCAUUCGUGGAACUGGGAUAAGUCUGGAAUAUUGGCUCAUGAUUGGCUCUAAUUGACUGGGAUAUUCACCAUCAUGGAUAGUCAGUUUUGACAUAAACCACAGCAGCAAAGAACUCAGUCUGUCUGUGGGGUGUUCUCUCUCUCUAACAUAGUGAGAGAAUUCAUCAUCCUUUCUAAUCAUGGAGACCCGUGAUUAGCAUCCCAUAUUUAGGUUUCACUCAAUUUUAGGUUUGUACAAAAUGUGAUAUGCCUGGAGGUUGUAAUGUAAUUGCACUUCCAUGAGGUUUUCUUGGCUAAAUCUAACCAUUUGAUGAUAUACUCUAUCAAAUGAGUACAUAUGGUGCUUUUAAAUUACCGAUGUUGAAUGUUUGAUUAAUUCCAACAAUUAUUCCAACAGUUUCUGCACUUUCUGUACUUUUAAAGUAAUCACUAUUUAUUCCUGCCAGAGAAUUCAGCAGCCAUCUCAUUUACUAAAUUUGAAGAGAGCUGAUUCAUGUGAGAGAUUUAUCUUAAGCCAAGCAUACAUUACAAGACUGAAGCUUGUCGCCCAUUCAUGUUUUUAGUCUGCACAGAAAGCCCCGGGUUGUAGCCAACUCUCAGUACGUGCCCAUUCCAGACAGUCUUCUAUAGUCUAUAGUAUAAGCAGUUGUGAGACAUGUUGUGACUAGUCACAAAUGCUACAACAGAUUUCAGACUGUUUUGUAAUUUGGCUGACUAGUCAGGUGUGUGCACUGUCCUUAGUACUGAGAAACAAUGAACAACAAGCAUAUGUGAGAGAAAGGUAAGGAAGAGCAGGAUCCAAAAAAAGAUGCUAUCAUGGCUUUCCAAAUCUCCCCAAUCACUGAAUGAAUUUCAGAAUCAUAUCAACAGUUGGGGAGGACAGUGAUCCCCUACUAGACCCUUUUCACAUGAUGUCAGGUAACUUCUGUUCUGACUCGAAGUGCUGUGUGCUUACUUCCGCCAGCAUAGUAGAAUGCUAGCACCACCACCAUGGAGAGUAACACUUUAUUUCGAUGAUCCACUUUAGACAUUCUAUUAACUAUAAGUAGCUUUGCAACUACAUGUAAACUAACUCUGAUUAGAGUAUUAGUAGACUGUUUGCAUCCCAUAAUAGUCAAACAUACAGAUGGUACAACUAGAGUCACAGAAGCAGAAGACCUGAGAGUAGGUGAAGUUCAUGCAGAUAUGAAGGUGCUAGAUUAUGAAGAGCCUUAUAAGUGAAAAGUAAAAUCUUAAAUUGAAUCCGAUAUUUAGCUGGAAGCUACUGGAGGUACCUUAAAACUGGAGAAAUAUGCUCAAUCAGUGGUGUUCAUAUAAUGAUCCGGGCUGCUGAAGCUGGACCAUUUGAAGUUUGUACAGAAGUUUCUGUAAAACAUUGAGAAGAGAAUUACAAUAGUCAGUACGAGAUGUGAUUAAUGCAUGCACAGCAGUACUAUUAGCAGAAAGAGAUUAUUAUUUCACAAAUGAUAAUAUUCUGACUGUGUAAUGUUAUUUACAUGUGCCUCAAAAGAUACGUAAAGUGCUGUCAAGGAUGACACCCAGACUCUUAAACUGAAGGGAAGGAGAGAUAACAGUCGAUAGUCAGUGUAAAACUUUCACAGUUUUGCAGAAUAACAUUUCAGUCUUCUCACUAUUAACCUUAAAUAAAUUACAUGUAAACCAUGAUUUAAUUUCAGAUAAACAAAGCAAAAGAUAGGUAAUGUUGAAUUAAGCUUUGAAGACAUAGAGCUGGGUGUCAUCAGCAUAACAAUGAAAGUUUAUGCCGAAUUUAUGGAAAAUAAACAGAAGAGGACCCAAAACUGAGCCCUGAGGCACACCACUAGUAAUCUGAAAUGUCUGUGAUAUGAAACUUUGAAUUUGAUCGGAUAAAUACGAUCUAAACCAAUCAAAAAGAAUGCCAGUGAUUCCAAUGGAAGUCAGCCUCUCCAAUAAAAUACUGUGAAAUGAUGUCAAAAGCUGUGCUUAAAUCGAGAAGAAUGAGUACUGAUAAAAGGUUAGUAGAAUAAGUUGACAUGUAGUUAGAAUUGAAUUGAAUUGAAUGUAGUUACAAAGUUACUUAUAGUCAGUAGAAUGUUGGGGGACCAUCAAAAUAAAGAGUUGGCAGAUAUUAAGCAGACAAGUCUCUAAGUGACAGCAGUUCUAAUGACUGCUAGCUGACAUGAAGUUGCAGAGUUACUUAUAGUUAGUAGAAUUUCAAAAGUGGACCACCGAAAUAAAGUGUUACUGCAUGGAGUUUUCCCAGUCCCUUCUACAUCUGCCACAAAUCCUGCCAGAGGAUGGCUGCAGCACCUACUCUCGUCUACGUUCAAGGCAAGUUGUUUGGCAUAUCAACAAUAUAACUUUAAGAUUACAUGAAGAGAGUUUUUACUAUUAUAAAAACAUGGAUUUCAGAGCAUUAGCAGAACUGAAGGUAACAGAAUAAACAAAACAGACAUUUUUUUUGUCCUUUUUAAUUUAAUACCACAUAGCAUAUACAACGGACAUAAAAUAUUAAUCAUACAAGAAUACACAAAUAAUGGAAAAAGGAAAACGAGAAAGAAAAAGUAGGCUCUACAUGUAUAUUCAAAUUAAGAGGAAUUUGGAGUCAUUAAAAAAGGAGUCAUUGUAGAUGGCUAUAGUCCUAGCUUUAAAGCUUAAAUGUCUUUCCCAAUGUUUCAAAAUAAAGCUUUGUUUCGUUCUUGAAUUGUAUAAUAUUAAGUUUCCUCCCAGACCACUUUCAUUUAUGCAUGUGAAACUUGCCAUAUAAUUUGAGAAGAUUUAAUAUAUAAAUAUGGAUCCUGAUGAUGUCUUUUUUCCCAUAGUAAAAAAAAAUAGCAUCACUUCAUCAUUGUUGUACAACUCAAUUCAGUGACGUUAUAUGUUGAAGUUGUGGCUAGCUAGCCUACUUUCCCAACCAUCUAGUUACAGAAUGUUGAAGCUAGAGUAGGCAAUGCUUUUCAUUUAAAAAAAAAAAAAAAAAAAAAAAAAAAAAAAACUUGUUGUUAUACAUCCUGAUAGCAAUCAAUAAUAGAAGCAACGUUCCCAACCCUGUUCCUGGAGGCAUACCAACAGUACACAUUUUGGAUAUCUCCCUUAUCUAACCCAUCUAUUUCAGGUCCUAGAGUCUCUACUAACAAGCUAGUGAGUUUAAUAAUGUGUAUUUGAUUAGGAAGAGUUCAAAAAUCUGUUGUGCCUUUAGGAAUAGGGUUGGGAAACACUGCCAUAAUUGAUUCACGUAGUUCAUGAUUAGUUGUGUGAGGUGCACAUCAACAAAACUGUCUUUAAAUGUGCACAAGAUGACGACUUUCAGUCUUAUAGUGUGUUUUAUAUAACAAAGGAGGGUCAGUUUGUGUGAGGUUUGGGAAUUUAGUAUUUUGGGAAGAAGUGUUGUCAUAUAGAGACAGAGAUGAAGGUGCAGGACGUGUAAUUGUCUGGGAUGUAUAUUUUGUGGCUCUGUGUGUCAUAUGUUUGAUGUGUACAUGUGAAGAGUACUCAUUUUGGAUGUCUCAAGAGAGACUGCUCCUGGGUGGGCAGAAAUAAUCUGUAAUAAACACUGAGCAGACAGACGUGACGCAAAAUCAGCACAAAUACAAGAUGACAGCACUGCAAACAAACAUGACAAGGAUGUGCCCAACACAUGCAGAAUUUUCCCACUGCUUUGUGUGACCUAUAAUGAUUUAUCAGACAGUCAUAAAAUGAACAUAUUUCCCUGAGACUCACAUCUUUCACAUACCUCAAAGAACCUUCAUACAUCUGUUUAAACACAGCAGACUUGAUUGAAAAAUCCGUUUUGGUUCUCUUAAAGGUUUUCCCACAGCACUGUUUGUUGAAUUACUGAGGACUAGAUUUUUGUUUGGUCUGGUCAUUUGUGCUUGCACUCAUGUGGUCCGGUUGAUAGACUUUGGCCAAUUCAGGCAGAAAGAAGUGCUGAGGUUCACUUUGUAGAGUUACGGCCCUAUUGACUCAGGCCGUCAGAUUUGAUAGAGGAGUGUUUCGGUUCGCUGCUCAAGCUUGAAAAACACAUUACAUCCACCCCGAAGUCUUCCUCUUCCUCAUCGUCUGGCAGUUCAGAAAGAGAAACACUAUUAUGAAAAAACAUUGGGCUUCAUUGGGUCCAUUCAUCCCGUAAAACCACAUGAAGUAUGUGUCUAUGUCAGAACAGACUGUUUGACACACAAACUUGACAGAUUCUCUAUGUACUCAGUGUCUGGCCAUGGUUGGCACACCAUGCUGACAGCUUAGACCUGUAGGCAUCAUACUUUUAUGAUUGCACACACAAACACGCAUGCGAUCUCCUUCACUUUCCAGAAACACCUCAGUGUCAAUAUCAUAAACCCUUAGCUCUCUAAGAGGAGGUCUUGCCAGUGACCAUGUUACCCUCAAGUAGACUCAUAAAUCCAAUGGAGAGAGGGUACGUAUUUAAAAAAGAAAAAAAGAAAGAAAGCCUUGGAGACAGUGCCACGCACCCUUGCUCAUGAAACUGUUUGUAGGGAAAGAUCUCCUUUUGUGUCUUUCCAUAAGUUGAAGGAUAAAUGUCUGGGAGUGUUCGAGUUUUAGAUUGUUUUUCCAGAGUGUUGCUGUGUAAUUUGGCUAAAUGGGCUUUGCCCUACAUUUAAAACAAUCCAGUAAAGAAUGUCAUUGCUGGAAAGUAAACAAGCUGAUGCACUCACAAGCAUACAAUCAACCCUAAUUACUAUUUAGGAGAAAGGACAUACUACUCACCUGAAAAAGUAGUAAUGGCUGGGUGUUAGCGUCAAAUGACUGCUCUUAACUAUGAGGGCAGUAGGCAUUUUUAACACAUAUUCUGCACACUGUGGUAUCUGUGUUUAGCUCUUCGGCUUGUGAGUGGUCUGAAACGGACCUAUGGGGCCCCAGUGGCAGCUGCCCACAUUCACUGCCCACUAAAUAAAAAAGAACGAGAGGACGUUUAUGGGGUGUUUGUCGUGUUGCCCAGAAGCUGAAUGUCCUUUAAACCAUCUGGAAGUCAGUGUGAUGUCACACCCUGGGCCUCUAAGAAAUAUGAUAAUGCUACAUAAGUAAAAUAGCUCAGCAGAAGGAGAAAAUGUAGAAAACAUUUUGUUCAUAUGCAUUUAUGAUAGGACUACUCAGUUGACAAAAUGAUAUUAGCCUUGCAAUUCUGAAGUUAUGUUUUAAAAACGAGCACACUGUAAAAAAUAUUCUGUAGUUUUUACAAAAUAAUUUUGGCAGCUGUGGUUGCCAGAAUAAUUUUGUAAAAAAUACAGAAAAACUGUAAACACAUUUACAGAACAAACUGUCAAUUUUACAGUAUAAAACUGUAAUUUACAAACAAGAAAAUUUGAAUGUAAACAAGUAAAUUCAACAAUGCACACUACUACUAAAAUCUGUUUUGUACCUUUAACAUAUACUGACAACCACCAUAAUAAUGCAGGUGGUAAAAGAGAAAGCCACAUGAAGAAUCAGAGUUCAUCACAAAUAGCUUUUCCAGGAGCUUAAGUAUAUACUAAUACAAAGUAGGUGCAAAGAGUCAUUCACGCAAAUGCAAAACACCAUCAUGGUAACCCACAACACUUACACAAUGCAAUAAACAUUAAUUAAACAACAGAAGAUGUAACAUAAAACCCUAAUGUACAUAACUGAUAACAAAAACUAUUAAGAAACUUUUUUUUUUUUUUAAACAAAAUACUUUCAAAUGUGGAGUGUCACACAGGGAAUUGUGGGAAUAUCAGUUUACAGUUUUUGACUGUAAAUUAUACAUUGAUUUGUUCUUUUUUACGUCUAAAAAUUUUAAAAAAAAUUACAGCAUUUUACUGUAAAAAUGACAUAAAAUGUCUGGUAAGAGCUUUUACAGUUUUUCCCUGUAUAUAGUACGGGAACUUACUGUUAACCUAUUUACAAUUUUUUUUCCGUAGCGUUUUUACAAUAUUUUUACCGUUAAAAUCACAUUCAUUUUUUACAGUGCACGUGUCUGAAUGAGAUUGCAUUAAAUGAAAAAAAAAAAUCAAAAGUUGCAUCUGCAAACAAAUAGGGCUUGAGCUUUUCUCAAAAAUAACCACUUUUCUGAGCCACUUUGGCAGGUACUUUUAACUGAUAUUUUAGUGGAUGUAUGAAGUCGGUUCUCUGUGGUCAAGAGGAACCACAAUUCAGAUCUACAGUAUGAACACGAUCCACUAACGACUAGGAAAAAAAAAAAAAAAAAACAUUUUGUCUUUAUUUUGAAUCUGUUGUGUUAUAAUUUAAACCCUAACAAACUUCUUUUUUCUAAAUGUUUUGCUUGAAAUGUGUGUUUGUGUCACUGAUCUAUAAGAUACUAUAUAGAGAUAAGUGGGUUGUGCUAUAUUUAUUUAAAAUAUAUUGCACUUGGUUUGACAUUGUUAUAUAAUGAAAAUACAUUUAAACAUGUUUAGUGUG